RNAcentral lists this ribosomal RNA (751 nucleotides) under uncultured Stenotrophomonas sp. Its description in RNAcentral is "bacterial SSU rRNA". It matches the Rfam family "Bacterial small subunit ribosomal RNA", at positions 21 to 759 of the family's 1533-position model. The record is from RNAcentral. Lineage: Bacteria; Pseudomonadati; Pseudomonadota; Gammaproteobacteria; Lysobacterales; Lysobacteraceae.
GGCUCAGAGUGAACGCUGGCGGUAGGCCUAACACAUGCAAGUCGAACGGCAGCACAGUAAGAGCUUGCUCUUAUGGGUGGCGAGUGGCGGACGGGUGAGGAAUACAUCGGAAUCUACUCUGUCGUGGGGGAUAACGUAGGGAAACUUACGCUAAUACCGCAUACGACCUACGGGUGAAAGCAGGGGAUCUUCGGACCUUGCGCGAUUGAAUGAGCCGAUGUCGGAUUAGCUAGUUGGCGGGGUAAAGGCCCACCAAGGCGACGAUCCGUAGCUGGUCUGAGAGGAUGAUCAGCCACACUGGAACUGAGACACGGUCCAGACUCCUACGGGAGGCAGCAGUGGGGAAUAUUGGACAAUGGGCGCAAGCCUGAUCCAGCCAUACCGCGUGGGUGAAGAAGGCCUUCGGGUUGUAAAGCCCUUUUGUUGGGAAAGAAAUCCAGCCGGUUAAUACCUGGUUGGGAUGACGGUACCCAAAGAAUAAGCACCGGCUAACUUCGUGCCAGCAGCCGCGGUAAUACGAAGGGUGCAAGCGUUACUCGGAAUUACUGGGCGUAAAGCGUGCGUAGGUGGUCGUUUAAGUCCGUUGUGAAAGCCCUGGGCUCAACCUGGGAACUGCAGUGGAUACUGGGCGACUAGAGUGUGGUAGAGGGUAGCGGAAUUCCUGGUGUAGCAGUGAAAUGCGUAGAGAUCAGGAGGAACAUCCAUGGCGAAGGCAGCUACCUGGACCAACACUGACACUGAGGCACGAAAG